CAGGGAUCUGAUUUGUGGAAAGAUAGAGAUCGGUUUAAAAGGUUUUCAUAUGCAUCCUUGGAACUUUGUAAGGUUUACACGGAAAUUUCUUCCUCUUCUGGUAGCCGUCGAGAACUCUUUGCUGCUGAGAUGCACCUGAAGAACGUACUUAAACAAGUAAAACACCUUAUAAUUUGAUAUUUAGGACACUUACAGUUGGUUUAAAGAUUGCAUUUUCCGUUUCUGUUUUUGACUGGUUCAGGGUAAAACUUUUUCCCACUGUGUUAGAGUGCAUUUCUGUUAUUAUAUAGUUUCUUAGAAGAGAAUGCGCUUUUUGGAAUCUCAGGCUGAAGGAUUUGCUGACAUGGAAGAGUUCAGGGAUCUUCAAGCUUGCCUUGAUGAAGUGAAGACGAAACUCCAAUCUGGUCCCGUGGCUACCUAAGUAUCAGGAACGUGCUAUUUUUGAAUAUCAGGAAUGUGCUAUUAUUUUAGUUCGUACUGUAGUUGAGACCUUAACCAUGACUGAAUAUCUUGUAUUGCUGUACCACCUUUUCUGUAACAAAACAGUCUAGUUUUAGUAUUUUUAUUAUUUUUGUAUUUUCAGUGCUGUAACUAAUCUCAUUUGACAAUGUAAAUAUAUGGCUUCAAGUUAUUUAAAUGUAAAAUCAAGUGUUGUUUUCAACCUCUGUUCUUUUAUGUAUAGCUUACAUGCCGUGAUUUCAUUAACCUCAAUUUAAGGACAAUUUCAUAUCUUUUUUCUUUCUGCUUUUCUUUUAUCAUUUAAGAACAAAUAUGAAUAUAUUUCAGACAGCAUUUAAACAAAGCAACCGAACGUCGCUGGUUUCUAUUAUUACAUUGACAGCAAUAAAACAAAGAAGCAACUGAAAGUUAUCUUCAUAUGAGAAUGAAAGCUUUUCAGCAGCAUAACACUAUUCAUUUCCAAACGAGUUCCUCAACAUGAGAACAAAUUCGUAGACCUUUUCUGGGUCUGGAAGGAUCCUGGCAACAGUUUCCCUUUGCAUGCACUUGUUCAUCCAAGCGGAGAAUUUGGGGCACUCAUUCGCAUCCUUAAAUCACCCAAAUUUCUCAACCGCGUAAAACCAACAAAUUUCUCAACCCCCAAAUUUGGGACAUCAACGAAUCCAAAGCUAUCCCCGCCAAAGAAAUCCUUCUCCCCUAAAGCUCCCUCUAGUUGCUUCAAUAUCUCUAUAAAUUCAUUCUUUGCCGUCUCCUGUGUUUUAAAAAAUCUAUUGUAAUGGAUCUAUUGUAAAUUUAUCUAACUGCUUGUUAUAAUGCUUCUAUUGCGGUGUUAUUCGAGUUGUCAUUUUCAGUUUUAUUUUAUUUGUUCUUUAAACAUAGUUAAUUUGAAAUGUUCUUUAAUAUCCAUUACACUUGAGAUCAUCAAAUAAGUGAUUCUUGAAUAUAAUUGCUGUUGUUACUCGAAUAAGAAAAGAAAACAAAAAAUAGCUAAGGUAAAAGUAAAUGGAAAUGAGAGCAACGUGAUUUUGCAAAGAGAACUUCACACUAUCAUAAAACCGAAAACAUUACAAUUUAAAGCUUUAAUAACAACACAUCAAAGUCAAAUAACGACCCACUAGAAUCAUGGUCCAAAGAUUGUGCCAUGAUCACAACAUGAACUACAAAAAAAUAACCAACACCAGAAAAGUAGGAACAGUUUGAAACUUUCAACUAAGCAGCAUUUAUGAUUCCACAUCAGCAGCCCUAAACACAUCUUCUAACAAUCGCAACUGCUCAUUUUUGCUUCUGCCAAUAAAGAGUUGAUUGUAACCAAAGAUUGUUGUCUUUAUUGUCAUUUGAGAGUAACAAAUUACUUACGCAGUCACGUAAGUUGUUGGUUGGCCUCGCACAUUUUUGAGAAGUUUGUUUCUGAAGGAAACCAGCUGAGCCGCAACCUCUUCCAUGCUCAUUCGUUCUCUCGGCAACUCUGAAGAGCAAAUGGCUCCGAUUCCCAGUACGGAAACCAAGCACUCUUUACCACUAAAACUUCUGGUCCAUUGUUUGUGAGCAUUGGCGUUGCUUUUCUCCCCUUCUUCUCUUUCUACAAGAAGCACUGGAUCAACAAUUUCAGCGAGUCUUUCAGGAAGAGCUUCCUUGACAAAAUUAUGUAGGGUUAGAUUGCCUGUAAACAUUUCAUUCGUCGGCCUCUUUCCUGUAAACAUUUCCAGCAAGAGUAUUCCAAAACUGUACACAUCUCCACUUGUUGAGACUUCGCUCCCCAUUCCGUACUCUGCAAUUCGAAAACUAAAAUUGUUGGUUCAACUAGUAAAAUCUCAAAGGAUUGAAAGACAAGUUAAUUAAAUAAUAGUAAUUACCUGGAGCAGCAUAACCAACGGUUCCUUUUACUCCAACAGAGCUUGAUUGAUUAGAUGACAAGUUAUUGGUGGCUUCCGGAAGGAAUUUUGCUAAUCCAAAAUCACCUACAUGGGCAGUCAAUUCACUAUCCAGAAGAACAUUGCUUGGCUUGAGAUCACAAUGGACUAUUGGAGUUUCGCAAUAAUGAUGAAGAUAAUCCAAUGCAGAAGCAACAUCAACGGCAAUACUCAGUCUUUGCAGGAGAUUUAGAUUCUUAAGUGCCUCACGGUUUGGAUGCAACCAUUCCUCCAGGCUUCCGUUAACCAUGAACUCAUAAACUAAAGCCUCGAAAUCAUUUCCUUGGAAGUCAACACUUGCACAGGAAGUUAUUAUUUUGACGAGAUUCCGAUGCCUAAUAUUUCUCAAGGCCUGACACUCCGCUAUGAAACUCUUUGAAGCUCCUCGAUGUUGAAGAUUAAGCACCUUAACUGCCACCAGCGUUUCAUGAUCAUCAUGAUUGAGGACUCCUUUAUAGACCGAACCAAAGCUACCGGCACCAAUCAAGUUUUCCAAAGAGAACCCGUCAGUUGCUUUGAACAGAUUCUCAUAGGACACUCGUAAAACCGAAGCCAAGAGAGCUGAUGGAGGAGUGGCCGGCUUCCUUUUUGAUUUGCCCCGCCAGGAAGUAAUUAUCAAACACGACAUCCCUGUUACUAACAAAAUUCCUGUAACAACAGGAAUAAUCAGUUUCAGGAAACGGGAACGUGAUUGCAUUGAUUCUUUGAUGGAACAAGUAGAUAAAUGCAACUCAGAUAUGCCACCACAGAGGUUAUCAUUUCCGUCAAGAGAUAUAGCACUCGAAUUGCUGAAGACUCCUUUUAUUGGUACUUCACCCUCAAAAUGAUUAAAAGACAGAUUUAAAUUCUGCAAAAAGGGAAAGUUUUCCAGAUAUUUUGGAAUUCGGCCAGACAAAUUGUUCCUCGAAAGAUCAAGAUUCUCAAUGCCUCUCAAAGAACUGAAUGAUGAAGGGAUAUUCCCUUGAAAGAAAUUACCAUUCAUGAUGAGUUGUACCAACAUAAUGCAACUUCCUAUACUGCUUGGAAUUUCACCAGACAAUUUGUUCUCCGAUAUGUCUAUAAAACCCAGAUUUUUCAAGAUACCAAAAUUAGAGGGCAAAGGACCAUUCAAAUGGUUUUGAGAUAGAUCAAGAUAGAUUGACAAGGAAGAGAGGCCAAUCACUUCAGUGGGUAUGGUACCACUGAGGUUGUUAUUGGAGAGAUCUAAUAAUAUCAAGUUUUGGCAUUUCCCUAGACUUGAUGGAAUGUUUCCCUCUAACAUGUUUUCCGCAAAAUCUAGUAUAGCUAACGAUGUCAAAUUUCCUAUAGAAGAUGGAAUUUCCCCCCAAAACUUGUUCCCCAGAAGCCACAACGUCUGCAGCUUAUGAAGAUCUCCUAUACUUCCCGGAAUUCGGCCUGUGAAUUGGUUGCCCCCAAGGUGUAAAAGCUCUAAGUUAACAAGAUUUCUUAAUCGAUUUGGGAAAUUUCCGAACAACUGAUUGUUUCCAACUAUUAAUAUUCUAAGUCGGGUUGACAAGUUCCCCACAGCUUCAGGUAACAUUCCACCAAAAUUGUUGUCACUAAUUUGCAGUAGCUCUAGUCUGGAAGCGUUGACCAAAGAAUUGACAAAUUCCAAGUCAUCCUUUUUCCCAUUUCCUAAGUGAUUCAGAUAAAAACUAACCCAUUGGAGUUUAUGUAAAUUUUCCAAACUAGGCACCUUUCCACUGAAUCCAUUCAUUGGGAUUGUAAGUCUCAUUAGAUUUGAGGCAUUGGAUAUUGAAGCAGGAAUAGGCCCAGUAAACUGAUUACCACCAACGUUUAAUCGUUCAAGAUUAGGCAGAGUGAAGCCUAAGUCUGAUGGAAGGCUUCCUUGAAGUUGGUUAUGAGGGAAAUCCAAAUAAUUAAGCGAAGACAAGUUGUAGAUUGAGAAAGGGAUUUCACCUGAUAGCUUAUUUACUCCCAAUAAUAUAUCACGCAUCCUCUUUAGCUGACCCAGUGUUUCAGGAAUUUGUCCCACAAAUUGAUUUGCAGCUGCUGAGAGGACCUCGAGUGAUGACAAAUUGCCCAAGGAAGAUGGGAUUUCUCCCGAAAAAUUGUUGUAGUGUACUGUGAGCAUCCGGAGCUUUGAUAUGGAGCCUAGUAACCCAGGAACUUUCCCCACAAGCUCAUUGACGCCUAACCUGAGGGAUUCAAGGUUAACGCAAUGCGAUAUGUUGUCAGGAAUUUGACCUCCGAAUGUAUUGUUGUUCAGCUCCAAAAUUCGUAACCUGAACAGAUAUCCAAUCUCUUGAGGGAUUUCGUUGCGGAAGCUAUUGUUUUUGAGAUCUAACACUCUGAGAAAACUCAAAUUACCAAUGUGAGGCGACAGAGACCCCUGCAAGAGUAAAGAUGGAAGACGUAAUCCAGUCACCCUUUGGUGCCGUCGACUGCAAGUGACACCUUUCCAUUGACAAAAGUGCCUGGAAUAGUUCCAUGAUCUCAAAACCUCAAGAGGGUCAUGAGUAACUUUGGCCUUGAAUUGAAGCAAUGCAAGUUGAUCAGUUUCAUUGCUUUUGAGCAUAUAAUCGGUUGAUUGCAAGCUGAAGCUGAAGCAACAUAAAAUAAAGAAACAAAUGCUUACAAUGAUUGAACUCAUCAUGUUUACAAAAUUCAUUUAACUGCCGAAGGAAAUUAAAAUGAUAAAACUUUUAUAGAGGUUUGUAAGAUAAAAUAUGUUUGUAUAUAUUUUGCAAUGAUUUAUGGACUCUGUCUUUGAUGCUCAAAUGUGAACCAGGUGGCACCGUGACAGUGAAACUAAUACUUUUUCUUUUUCUAAUAAUAUUAAUUAUCAUAUUUAUUACUAUUGUAAGAAUAAUAUACUGCAGCUUUAAAGAAAGACUCACCAUACUCUCUUUUGAGUUUAAUCACCAAUAUUGAAAAGGAAAAAAAAAGUAGGGCAAGAGAAAGGUAAAUACGAUGGGUGGAGUGUUAAGACUACUGUUAAAUGAGUUGGGAAACGUUCAAAGCACGAUGGGAAUUAAAGAUUCACAACACCUUUUUUCUAAAAUUUUCAAUACAGUCUCCCCCAAAAUUUGCUAGUGCAACAAAGAGACGUCGCGCCGUUAACAAUUUUAAACUGUAAAUGACAUGUCGUUUUCACAGAAUUCGUUUAACUGCCGGAGGAAAUUGAAAUUAUAAACUUUUAUAAAGGUUGGUAAGAAAAAAUAUACUUGCACAUAUUUUUUUUUCAAUGAUUUAUGGACGCUGUACUUGAUGCUGAAAUGUGAACCGGCUGGCACCGGGACAGUGAAAUUAAUGCUUUUUGUUUUUCUAAUAAUAUUAAUUAUCCUUUUCCUUUAAGGAAGACCCGCCACACUCACUUUUGACGCUCUAUCAGUUUCCAGCAUGUUGUCGUUUUGUAUUUUAGUGCAUUAAAGAAAUCCACAAUGAAUAUAAAAUAAUUUAAUCAACAGUAUUAGAAAAAGAAAAAAAGUAGGAUAAGAAAGUUAAGUAUGAUGGAUGGAGUUUCACAUUUCUGUUAAAUGACUUAGGAAAUGUUUAAAGCACCACAGGAAUCAACGUUUCACACGCUUUUUAGAUUUUUUUUCUAAAAGGAAAAAGAUAUUCUCACGAAAGAAAGUACAAAAUUUCACACAAAACGGUGCAUUUAAAUAAAGUAAAAUUGCAAAAAUACUCAAAAUAUAUAAGAUUGAUCAUUUACACCCUCCUUGUUUUUUUUGGGUGAACUAUUUCUGGAAAAUGGGCAGAGCCUAGUUUUGGUUCAAAAUUUGAAAUAACAAAUGGUAUAUUGGUGGAAAACCAACGACAUAUUUUCUAAUGCUUAACCUAAAUGGGAAUUAUAUCGGUUUGUACUGUCAAUAUAACAAACAACUAACUAAAUUAUUUAGAAGUCAUGAAUAAAAAUGGAUAGAACAAGAAGUAUAUUGCUAUUCGAUGCAAGAUGUUGGAUUAUUAAACCAUAAUAAAAUAAUAUAACUACACAUGUGCAAUGUUAUUCACUAAAAAGAUUUAAUUUAGAUAUUAAACAGUUAGUGCAACUGUAUCGAUCUCAUCCUCAUUAAUUUAGAGUUUGAGAACUCAUAAUAAAAGAAAAUAGAAAUUUAAACAUAGAUCCUAUCCUAUUAAGUAGAAUCAGAAAAGAAGUUUAUAGAAAUAAUUUUUCACGGAAGCAAUGAAAUAUUAAUCCGGUUGAUGGAUAUAUUGGUGAACACAUAAUAGAAUAUUAUAAUAGAUUUUUAUCUAUCAAGCAAAGGGAAGAAUAUAAUUGGAAUAACAAAAGAAUUAGAAGUAAAUAGUAAUAUGCUAAUAGGAUAUAAAGGAUUAUUAUUAAUUAUCGUAUUUGUGUAUAUAUAUAUAUAUUUUAAAUGAUUUAGGGACUCUGUACUUGAUGCUGAAAUGUGAACCGGCUGGCACCGGGACAGUGAAACGAGUACUUUUUUUAUUAUUACACGGCCUGUCGUUUUCAAAGAAAAAUUUUAUCAUGGUAUUCUUAUCCCCUAGCUGCCGUUUGUCGUUUGGAAUUUCUCUGUAUAAGAUUUUAAAGCAGCAAAAAUUUCGCCAUCUCGCGCCGGGGGGGUGGGGUGGGGGGAAGAUGAUGAUUCCGUGGAAUAUUAUCUUCGACUUAUCUGCUAUAAUCAGUGCUAACCGAUUUUGACACAUUUGCAGUAACGGAAGGGUUACAAUUACACGAGAUUGACACGAGGUAAUUAGCUAGUCAAGUCUCCGUGGGAAAAUUGUAAGCACUCAAGACUUAAAAAAGACUUUAUAAAGUAAGGCGUAUUAUGGAUGGUGUGGUUUGAUUCUCACUUGCAUCAAUUGUUCUUUUCAUUUUUCAUUGGAGGAAAGGAAAUUCAAGAGCCUGGUGUAUCUAGCAAAUUUUGUAACACGUUCUUGUAAGAUAAAAUAAAUAAAUAAAUAUAUCGGAUCCUAUUUCAUAGUUUAGUUAUAGGGUUAUUCGGAUGUCUGAAUUCAAAACAAGUUAAGUUUAAUCUCUAAAUAAUUUUGAGGAAAUCUUUCUACAAGGAGAGUUUGAAAUCAAUCACUACCCAUGUGUCAUUGGUCAGAUAAAUAGGUUAAGAACUCUAAUCCUAUCCCGACACAAAAAAAAAUCGUAUCGACUCGGACCUAGUCCAUUUUAAAUAACGGUUUAUUUAAAAUAAUUAUUUUUAUAAUAAUAAUUACUACUAUUAGUUGUCCUAUUAUUAUUAUUAACAAUAAUUAUUUUAAAUAAAAAUUGUAAUUAUUAUAAUAAAUGAUGACAAUAAUCAACUAAGAUUAUUUUGGUAUUGUAAUAAUCAAUUCCAAUUCCAAUAAAAAUUAGAUACAUUAGUGACAAUAUAAAUUAGGGUAGGGGUGGGCAAAUUCGGUUUGGAUCGGUUUGGGACAUAUCCUCAAACCGAUCCAAACUAAUCGGUUUGAAAUAUUUUCAAACCGAUAUCAACCUAAAAUUUUUUUAAACCGAACUGAUCCAAACCGAUUGGAUCGGUUUGGAUCCGGUUUGAACUUAUUAGCUAAAAUUUCACUUCUUUUAUAUUAUUUUACCUAAAUUAUUUGUUAUUUUUUUGUGUCCGCAAUCUAAAUUGAUACCUCUUUUAUAUUAUUCAUAUCUACUUUGAUAUCUACAUAACAAUUCAAAGAUACAUCCAUACAAGUUUACAGCAUAAUACAUCCUAAUAAACAAGUUCUUAACCUGUUCAUUCAAAACAAACUCACAAAAUUAAAAUAAACUUAAACCACACUUGACAAUUAAAAUAUUGUGCAUCUUGUCCGUCAAAAUUUAUAGUCCAAUUACUUUUGAUUUGUUAAAAUCUGCAUAAAAUGAUAAAUAUAAUUAUUUAGAUUGAUUAACUUAAAAUAUAAUGUAAUUAUAUAAUAUUUCUGGAUUGGAUCGGUUUGAAUCGGUUUGGAAUCCUUCCAAACCGAGUGAUGUCGGUUUGCAAUCCAAUAAACUGAAACCAGUUUUUUUACUAAUGAAACCGAUCCAAACCGAUCCAAAAGGUCGGUUUGGAUCGGUUCGGUUAAAAUAUGCCCACCCCUAAAUUAGGGGUUAUUUUUAGAAACCUCCCCUGAAGUUUAGUGUAUUGACAGUCGGAUAGAAAGUAUUCAUAUAAUUACAGGGACCUCCCCUGACGUUAGUAUUCCGCUAAGUGGACUGUCAGUUGACUAUUGAAAUUCCAAAAAUGCCCUUGCCGCAAAAAUAUAUUUUUAACAUAGAGGAGGUUGCGCUCUGAUCCUUUGUUCUGAAUUCAUUUUUUAUCCUUUGUUCUUAGUCACGGUAUAUAAGCCCCAUCCUUACCAAACAAAAUUUUAGAUCAAACAUGCUUAAAGAAAAUGGAUAAUGCAACAUCUAAAAUAAUUUUAAAACACAAAACAACAAAUACUCCACAUUUCAAAGUAAUAAAAAAAUAAAUAAUCGUAGUGCAAAUAGAUUAAACCUGAGCAGAUUUAUAGGCAUUAAGAGUAUUCUCAACGGCGACUUUCCUCUCAUCGCCAGUCUUAAACUCAGCCAAGUUAAGCAAACUCAUGUCGAAACCAAAAUUAGAAUUUAGAAAGGAAAAAAACAGAAUUGAGAAUCAAUUUAUUUUUUGGGAGCACGUGAGUGAUGAGUUUUGGAAUCUAAAAUGAUAUCAAGUUAUGAAGUAUUUUUGGUGUAAACGCAACAGCCAUGAGAGGAGAGUGACGAGAAACUUCCAAAAAGAGGUGAAAAAAAAAACAGAAGAGAAAAAGGCCAAAAGGAAAAAGACUCAAAAAAACAAAAACAGAGAGGAGACGCAAGGGCAAUCAAGCAAGCAGACAAACAAUUUAAAACCUGAGCAGAUAAUCACCCUUCAUCUUCAAAUAAAACACCUUGGAAUCGGCAGCGGCAGCGGUGGGAACCAAUUUCUGGUCCAAUAAUUUCAAGAUCCCGCCACAGGAUCUCCAUCAACUCGGCUUCGAUCUUCGAUCUGUACUCCUUAAUCACGGAGACAUGGUCUUGGUUGCCGUGCGACUCGUCCUUCUGCUCGAUGGAGGACACGAUGCACCAAGAGGCGCGCCGUGCGCCGAUGACGUUCUUGUAGGCGACGGAGAGGAGGUUCCUCGCUGGUCGAGGCAGAGACGACGACUUUUUCCAUGUAUUGGACCAUCUCCUCGUACCACUCGGCUUGCUCCGCAAGUUUUUCCAUGUAUACGUUUUCUUCCCGUGGAGAAGGGGCUGCCAUUGUUCCGUUCAGUUAUCUUUGUGUUUGUUUGAAUUUUGUUUUUGUUUAAAUUUUAAAUUUAUUUUUACGUAUUUACCCUUUAUAAUAACGUUAUACGUAUUUUUGUAUUAACGUUAGGGGAGGUCUUUGUAAUUACAUGAAUAUUUUCUAUCCGACUGUUAAUACACUAAACCUCAGGGGAGGUCCCUAAAAAUAACCCUAUAAAUUAUUACAGCUAAAAUAAAUAAUUUAUAAUAAUUCUAAUUCUUUAUUUCAAUUCUAUUUUGAUUCUAUCUUAUUCCGAUUACUGAUUGGUAAGCAUACCACUAAACGAAAUGAAACUGUCCAUACACAAUAAAAUCUCUUUAAUUGAUCAUCUAGCCCAGCUAAAAUCAACGGUCCCGAAAGAAACAAUUUCGGAACUACUCAAGCCUGCAAAUCUUGCACUGUCGUAGUAAGUUACAGGAAUUUGAUUGGACGAUGUAAUAAAGAUGAAGGAUAAGAUCGCCAUUCGCCAAUCAAUUUUCUGUCCGCAUCAAGCAAAUAGGCCAUCUGUGAGGCGCAAAAUGAGUUAAAAAGAUGGAUAAUUUUGGAAUCCAUUAAUCCACAAUGAACAUAAAACAAUUUAAUCAACAGUAUUAGGAAAGAAAAGAAAAGUAGGAGAAGAAAGUUAAGUAUGAUGGAUGGAGGUUCAGAUUACUGUUAAAUGACUUAGGAAAGGCUUAAAGCACCACAGGAAUCAACGUUUCACAAAGCUUUUUUCCCUUUCUGAAAUAUUCGGUGCAGUCUCCCCCAGAUUUUGCCAGUGCAACCAAGAGACGUCAUGCCGUUAUCAAUUAUAAACUGUAAAUGACAUGUUGUUUUUACAAGACAUAUUAUGCGUCGAUACAUACCUAUGAAUGGGUUCAAGAAAUUCAGCAGGUUGCGAAACAAUAAGAUUCAUUCAAUCCGCGUAGAUAUCUGACUGACUGAAAUUAAAUAAACGAUGAUGAUAAGAAAUUUGAAAUCAACAAAUCUCGGCACAUCUAUUCUGCAGUUUGGCCGUACUUCAAAUAACCUUGCGAUAAAAAUUUCAUAAAAAAUCUCAGAAAGAGGACAGAACAACCAAGGCAUCAGCGAAAGCAAUCGAGGCAGGGCACGCUCAAGCCACGAAUUAGAGGAAUUUUAAAUAUCAAAACCUGCUCAGAAUAAUAAGAAAUAAAAUGAAACUACAAAAGGCUCAGAUUUUUGGAUGAGUGAAGGGAAGAUGAGAAGAUGAAAUGCAGAAAGUCAAGAAAUGAAUAAACCAAUAUUAAUAAUCUUGGACCCACAGCUCUAAUUUGGAUUAAGCAUCCAUCUACCUAUGUGGAUAAUAUUUUUGCUAACUUUUCAGCCAUGCAGCAGGAUCAUGUUCGUCCUGUUUUAUUUGAUAGAAGGAAUUUUCCCCUGGAAGAAAAUGAUGAGUCGUUUCAACGUCAUGCAACUGCCUAGACUGCAUGGAAUUUCACCAGACAAUGACAAUUUAUUCUCAGAUAUAUCUAACGCCCCCACAUUUGCCAAAUUUGAAGGCGUCCGUUUUGAGACUGAUAAAAACGUUUUCCAAAAAUUCGGGAUUCAGGUCGAUCAGACCGGUUAUGUUUUGCAAAACUUGUAAAUUUUCAGUGAUCAAAAUUCAAAACUUUGCAAAUAGGUCAAAAUAUGAAAAAUACUUGAUAUAUUAUUGAAUACUCAUUUUGUUUUGCAUUAAUAUACGGCUGUGGGUGCUAUCUAGUUCUAUUAGUAAAAUUCCUUGGGUUGAAAACAAGAAAACUAGCAUUUGAAACUCACCCAUAUGGAUGGGAAAGAAAUUUAGUUACCAUUGGAUUAAAAAAUAAUAAUAACAAUUAGAAAAAAAUUGUAAGGCUUCGACAAGAUUUGCUAAUCAUGUAUAGAUUAAUAUGAAGAUUAAGAACAUCACCUAAGCCAAUUAUUGAAAUUGAAAUUUUAGGAGAAAAAUUUAUGUGGGUUUGGCCACCAAUUUAGCAUUAGGAACUUAUUGUUUAGGAAGCUAUGGUGGGUUUCGUAGUGGGACUUAUCCUCUUUAAUGCAUAUGGUGAUUUUAAACCAACAUUUAUAUAAUCCCAUUAUAAAACUCAUCAAACCUUCUAAAAUAACUCGUUGAGAUAGUGUGCUAGAUCCAUAUAAAUAUUUCUCCAACUUCUUAGCUUGAAGCGAUAUUCAUUUCCAUUGAUAGUUUAAUGGGCAAAGCCUUUUGAAUUCUCCAGGUUAUCAAGUUAUUUUUUGCUGGAAAAUGCAAUCCGGAUAUGAAUAGAUUUUUUUGUGCAAUCAAAUUUUCUAUGUUGACGCAUCCUCUAGAACUUUCAGUAAAUUUUAUGGAGAAGCUUUAAUUUCUUAGUUGUUGAUUUCGAAUAAAAAAUUAAACUUAACUUUAAAAUUACAGUUGUAAUUAUAAAAUAUUUACUGAAUACAUUAGUGUUAAUACUACAAAUUGUUCCAUUAAAAGUCUCUCAAAAAGGAAGAAGUGACUUAAAAAAUUAAAAGAAUGCAGGAGCUGAAGUUGGCAAUUUUGUAAAUUGCAAUGGCAAUUGUGGGCUAGUAAAAUCCCUCAAUGAGUCACAGCACUAGCAAUUUCGUAAUAUACAUUAGUGGCAAUUUUGUAAAAUUGAAGUUGUGAUAGUUUUGCAAAUAAAAGUAAAAGCUUUUUGCCUAAAUUCGGCUGAGCUAAAAGCCAGCUUAGCCCACACUCUCCUUCGCCACCGGUUGACGAGCUCUUCCUUCAAUUUUUGAACUUGAAGUGAUGCCCCAUCGAUGUCCAGAAUUUUUAAAGUCAGAAUGAUGAUCCUAAUGAUUCUUUUUAGAUAGUCACCUGUACGUUGACGUGUUUAAUUGAUGUUUAUUUAAGCAGAAAUUGAAGUUUGAUCCCUGAUUAAUUAGAUGAGAACACACAUUCAUGAGUAAAUACUUAAAAUUAAAUUAAUCAAAAUAGUAUAAAUACAGGAGAAAAUCGAUCAUAUGCGUGCAGACAUCACAAUCGAAUUAUAUAUAUCACCGCCGCACAUAAAUUUGAUUCCCAUGAUAUGUGAUUAAUUAAUUAAUUUUUUUAAUAACAAUUAAAUUGUAAUGUCAAUUGUCCACAUAAGUUUUUUGUUUUUGUUGAUGAAAGUUAGUAAUUUUUUUCCAUCUUUUUAAAUAAAAGUUGUUAAUAAAUAUCAAGAAAAUAUUGGGACUUGAGAUCAGGGUCUACUUAAGUUAGAAUUUUUUAUUAGAAAAGCUAUAGCCAGCGAUGAAAAAUAAAGAAGUAACACAAGAUAAAGAGUAAAAUGAGAGAGCAUAUAUUAUAAAAAGAUUUUACCCAUUUCAAGUGUGCACCAAACAAAGAGACGAACUCUCAUUUUAUAGUUACAUAAUUAUUACAUGAAAUUAAUAAAAAUAUUAAGAAUUAUAAUUCCUUGCGAGAUAGUGGGAGUUAUAGAAAAGUCAAGAGUUGUUAGUGGAAGAUAGCAAGAAGAGUAAAAAAUAUAUGUUAUGAACAUUCACAUUUAUUUUAAUAAAUUUACAGUAUUUUUUUCGUUAAAUAAUAGGGUGUGGAGAACAAUUGGAAGGACUUUACGUGUGUUUAUAUAUUGACAUAAAAAUUGCAGGACGUGUAGUUUAGCGUUUCUUGGUUGUUCAGUGCUAGUUUUCUAAAUCUCGAGCGUGCGGGUUAUUUUUCGUUACCUUUAUCACCGAAAGGCUGUUUUAACCAACUAAGAACUAAAAGCUAAAACCCAAAACCCCCCUCUUGUUCUUUUCCAGGGACUUUACCUUGUCCUUGAUGGCCGAAAAGCAACUGGAAAUCCUCCGCGGGUACGAGCUGCGGCUCUUGCGCUGCACCCUCGCUCCCCCACCGUCCGAUCUUCGCAUUCAAUCGCAACCGUUGAACGAAGAAAGCCAAUGCUCUAUCCUUCCACUCCACGAGCACAUCAACAGCCUCAUCAACUCCAUCGAGUCCGGCCACUAUCUCCAGGCUCUGUCCUCCGACGAGGCUAAACACGCUCUCGACACGCUCGAUUUCGUCGACAUCAACGACUCAGCCGAGUGUGCCGACCGCGUCUACUCCGAGCUGCUCCAGCUUGUCGAAGCGUCUAUAGUGAACGAUUCCGAAAUUGACGUGGAUAAGGCUUGUCGAGUUAUUCUGCUCAUGUGUCUUUCAAUUGCUGCCCUUUUUUGGUUCACUCAGUGUAACGUGACUGGGUGAGUUUCUUAUUUAUAAAUUUUUAAAUAAUUGCAAUUAAUUAAUAAUAAAUAUUAGUAAAAAAUUAAUCAAAAAAAAGGUUUAGUGAUGAACCUUGUCGAGGUGCCUUCUAAUAGAAAAGAGCUCACGGCAAGAUGAAAUGCAAAGUAAGUUGUUUUAUGGUUGGGCGGUGUGUAGCCGUCUUGUUGAAGGCCAUAAGAUGUUAAGCAUAUUGCUGUUUAAUUUUUAAAUCAUUCUCAGUAAUAAUUCCUUUAGUAGAUUGAUGAUAAGAGAUUGCAUUGCAGAUGAUAACUGAGCACAAUUUCUGUAGUUGUAUCCCUGUACAUCCAUCUUAAUAUCCUCAUUAUAUUCACAUGCCUUUUACGGGUGUUAUUUCUGGAUGCAGAAUGCUUUGUUCCACGUCUGGAUACCAAAUGCUUUGUUCCACAAAGCUGAGCUGGUUGAAAAGCUAGCUGAUGAGGUCAACAUGUCCCUUAAGUAAUUUGAGGAUGAACACUGUGUUCCCGAAAGUCUUACUCUAAUGAUACUUAAAGAAGCAAUGAGAAUGGAUGUUGCAGCAGCUUUGCUGAACUCAACCCCAGUUCCAAAAAUGGAACAUGUGAAAAUGCAUUGUUUUUUUUUUUUUUUUUCUCUCUCUUUAUGACUUCUUUGGUUGGGAAUGUAUUAGAUAUUCACCUAAUCAGUAGGCCUUGAAGGGAUCCCAUGUUAGCCCCUUGAUGUUGGUCUGUAACUAAGUAAAUACUUGACCUUGAAAAAGCUUUUGGAGGCAUCAGUUCUCUCUGACUGUGUGCUACUUUUUGGAUCUGUUGAUUUGGUCAUUUGCUGAUUUAUAGUUAUUUUUCUGAUUCAGGAUGGGAUAUGGCUCCAUACAUAUAUAGGCAAUUGAUUCACAGCAGUCGUCAUGCUUCAUUGUAAUUAUAUAUACAAUACAGCAUCAGUUUUUCUUGAUUUUAAAUCUCGUAUUCUGAAGUGGUACUUCUGAUUCUCACAUGAUUUUUCCAUCUUUCAGCUAAAGUUUUUCUGUGAUCUCUUCCGUAUUAGAUGGGAGUUCACCCGUAGUCGCACAAAAGGGCGUGCUUUAGAGAUGAUGGACAAACUGGUAUGAUCUGUGAGCCUUUUCUUCUUAAAUAUUUUGUUACCUAAAUCAUUUUCAUUCAAAUUUACAAGAGUUGCCUAUGGAUCUAUAGAAGAUUCCAAACUUUCUGCAGCUAGUAGUUUCUUGGUUUCCGUACUGUCCAUCGGGUAAAGAUUGAAUGUGCAUCAUUUAUAAACUUGUCGGGAUCUUCCUUCUUAGCUUUGAGAUUGCUCCUGCAUAUAGGUAGAACCAAAGGCACAAAUGGUACUUGUUGCAAACACAAGCUCAUCCAACACUUCUGAUGUCUGCCCUUCAAUAAACCAAGUCAUUCAUACACAUGAUUCUACUAUUGGUGAUGCCUCUGAUGUUUUUGUGACCCCAAAAUUAUUGGGGAAUAGUCAUGAAUCUGAAUCUGGAGUCCAAUGCAUUCAUGCUGGUGGCUCAGCAGCCCAUUUAAAGGCAAUCCAACAGGCAGUGAUCUUGUCGAGGUGCCUUCUAAUAGAAAAGAGCUCACGGCAAGAUGAAAUGCAAAGUAAGUUGUUUUAUGGUUGGGCGGUGUGUGGUCCUCUUGUUAAAGGCCAUAAGAUGUUAAGCAUAUUGCUAUUUAAUUUUUAAAUCAUUCUCAGUAAUAAUUCCUUUAGUAGAUUGAUGAUAAGAGAUUACAUUACAGAUGAUAACUGAGCACAAUUUUUGUAGUUGUAUCCCUGUACAUCCAUCUUAAUAUCCUCAUUAUAUUCACAUGCCUUUCACGGGUGUUAUUUCUGGAUGCUGAAUGCUUUGUUCCACUUUUGGAAACCAAAUGCUUUGUUACACAAAGCUGAGCUGGUUGAAAAGCUAGCUGAUGAGGUCAACAUGUCCCUUAAGUAAUUUGAGGAUGAACACUGUGUUCCCGAAAGUCUUACUCUAAUGAUACUUAAAAAAGCAAUGAGAAUGGAUGUUGCAGCGGCUUUACUGAACUCAACCCCAGUUCCAAACAUGGAACAUGUGAAAACCAAAAAUGCAUUGUUUUUUUUCUCUUUAUGACUUCUCUAGUUGGGGAAUGUACUAGAUAUUCACCUAAUCAGUAGGCCUUGAAGGGAUCCCAUGUUAGCCCCUUGAUGUUGGUCUGUAACUAAGUAAAUACUUGACCUUGAAAAAGCUUUUGGAGGCAUCAGUUUCUCUCUGACUGUGUGCUACUUUUUGGAUCUGUUGAUUUGGUCAUUUGCUGAUUUAUAGUUUGUUUUCUGAUUCAGGAUGGGAUAUGGCUCCAUACAUAGAGACAAUAGAUUCACAGCAGUCAUCAUGCUUCAUUGUAAGUAUAUAUACAAUACAGCAUCAGUUUUUCUUGAUUUUAAAUCUCAUAUUCUGAAGUGGUACUUCUGAUUCCCACAUGAUUUUUCCAUUUUUCAGCUAAAGUUUUUCUGUGAUCUCUUACGUAUUAGAUGGGAGUCCACCCGUAGUCGCACAAAAGGGCGUGCUUUAGAGAUGAUGGACAAACUGGUAUGAUCUGUGAGCCUUUUCUUCUUAAAUAUUUUGUUACCUAAACCAUUCUCAUUCAAAUUGACAAGAGUUGCUUAUUUAUCGAUAGAAGAUUCCAAACUUCUGCAGCUAGUACUUUAUUGGACCCAAAAGCUUUUUUGCUUUUUCUAAGCUGCUAAUCAAGACUAGGUUUCUCUCCCUUAUAUCGCUAGAUAUGCCAUUAAUCGUUUGAUUUAAUUGUCUAGAGAGAUUAGAUACUUGCAUCUUUGCUUUUCACUUCACAAGUGAUUUCAUGUGCUAUCCUGUAUUCUGGUUCAAGAUUUUUGAUGGUUGCUUACUAUCAUAUUUUGCUUUGUUUCAGGUUGAGGGCAUUUCUAACUCUUCUCCCGGUGUGACUCAAAGUAUUCCCUUUUGUUAUGUGAUUUGCAUUCCAACUAUUCCUGCCCUGCGAAAGUAAAACUAUUUCUUCUGCAUCUUUGAAUGAUUGUGAUUUAAUUUUCUUGUCAUUUUGCCAACUAUCAUUAUGCUGUCAUUGUUUCAUAUCUUAUUUGACAUAUGUUGAUUUGGAUAGAUUUUAAUUGCUCUGUUUAUUCUCUUUAUAAUCUGUCUAUUUCGAUUUUUCUUCAUUUUAGGGAAUAUGCUAAACUUUUAGUAAGCCGUGGCUUGAUUGGAGAGGCUAUUAAAAAUUUUGAGGAUCUGGUGUUGUGGGAUAGUCUAAUACUGCAAUUGGUAUGAUGUCAUAGAUAACCAUUACCCUAAUCUCUCUGUCUAUCUCUCUCUCUCUCUCUUUCGUGUUGCUAAUGGGAGUUGGUUUUGUGUAUGAUGUAAAAAACAGCCUAUUGGGGAAGAAAGCAGCAGCUGUUGAACUAAUAAAAGCAAGGCUGUCUGAAAAGCCUAAUGACCCUACAUUAUGGUUUGUUGAUGAGCCUUUUCUAUGAUCCAUUUUAUAGUUACUUCUCAUUUCAGUUAAAUCCAUUGUUGAUGUCACUUAUUGCAAUCUAGGGAUGAUUGUUCAUUGGAUGUGAGGAUAUUGUCAGAAGAAAAUGAAACCUUUUAAUUUUAUCUUUUACUUGCUGUAGCCGACUUAAAAGGUCACUGUGCGUUCUUACUGAUUGCUUUUGGUCUUGCAUUUGAGUCAGUGGAUUUUAUACUCAUAUUCUGACAUGUAUUGUUAGCCUUCUGACGGUUCUGCACCUUGGUCCUAUAUUAUCUUCAGCAGUAUUAUCUAAAAGAUCAUUUUUUGCCGAAGAAUAUUUGCAUUCUAAACUAGAAAAGGAGGGGCCGCCCGGGCCCGGGGGGGGGGGGGGGGGUGUGUGUGUGUGAAGGAAGCAUCAGGAGGUUGUUUUCCACUUAUCCUCUUCCCUGCCUGCAUUUUAGAUGAUUCUGAUGCACCAGGUGCCGUGAAAUGGUUGAGAAAUACAUACCAUCAAGUGAAUUCUGAAAAUCAUAUCCUUUUUGAGAAUAUUUGGUGCUAGACAUUUGAAUAUGUGGCCACAAUUUAAACAAUAAAGAUUUUCUGCACUGAUUUCUUAUAAUGGAUAUAUGCAUGUAAUUAUAAUAUGAUAUCUUUUGAUUAUUGACCCAUUUGUUUAGAAAGAAGGGGAAAAAAAAAACAUGGUUGAAAGACAACUGUUACUUGACCUUAUCUUGGUCUGUUCACUGCCGUUUGUUUCCUAUAACUUCUGGUGAUAAUGUAGCCAGAAUGAUGAGUUGAAUUGUGGUUUACUGACUUGUGAUACAUUUUGUAGGUGUUCAUUUUUGUUUUCUAAAUUUGUUAUCUAAAGGAAUGACAAGUUGACAACUCAGCCUCUCUCUCUCUCUCUCUCUCUCUCUCUCUCUGUGUGUCUGUGUCAGGGAUCUGAUUUGUGGAAAGAAAGAGAUCGGUUUGAAAGGUUUUCAUAUGCAUCCUUGGAACUUUGUAAGGUUUACAUGGAAAUUUCUUCCUCUUCUGGUAGCCGUCAAGAACUCUUUGCUGCUGAGAUGCACCUGAAGAACGUACUUAAACAAGUAAAAUACCUUAUAAUUCGAUAUUUAAGACACUUACAGAUGGUAUUACAUUGACAGCAGUAAAACAAAGAAGCAACUGAAAGUUAUCUUCAUAUGAGAAUGAAAGCUUUUCAGCAGCAUAAGCCUUUCACUAUUCAAUUCCAAACACGUUCCUCAACAUGAUAACAAAUUCGUAGACCUUUUCUGGGUCUGGAAGGAUCCUGUAACAGUUUCUCUUUGCAUGCACUUGUUCAUCCAUGCUGAGAAUUUGGGGCACUCAUUCUCAACCUUAAAUCCCCCAAAUUCCUCAACCGCGUAAAACCAUCAAGUCAGUGGAAUGGCAAUCACAUCAACGAAUCCAAAGCUGUCCCCGCCAAAGAAAUCCUUCUCCCCUAAAGCUCCCUCAAGUUGCUUCAAAAUCUCUAUAAAUUCAUUCUUCGCCGGGGACCUCGCCCUUCGUUUUGCAUAUGUUGCAGACUGGAUCGAAUACCUGCCAAAAAAGUGGUGUCAUCUUUUAAGUUCGCAUUUAGAAAGAUACAAACAUUUACACUUGAGAAUUAUAGACUGACCUUCUUGUCAAUAAAAUCUGCCCAGAACCUUGCCUUAGCUCUCUCAGAAGCACAGGAUGGGAGAAGUGAUGGCGAAGGCCAAGUCUCGUCAAUUUAGUUGACUAUAAUAGUGGAUUAACACAAUGGUUCCCCAUCGUGCAGCAAAACUGGGACUUUCUUGUAGAUGGGGUUUGAUUUGAGCAACAGGUCACUCUUGCCCCCGAACAAGUUCUCAGCUCUGGCUUCAUAUCCAACUCCUUUCUCAGCCAAUGCAAUCUUUGCUCUCAAGCAAAAUGGGCUAACCCAACAGUCCAAAAGAACAACCUCUCCCUUUGACAUAUUCAACUAUCAAGGUUGGUAUUUAUAUAGGAGAAAAGAUGAAAUUCCCAAAGAUUGUGUCGCAAUCAAGGUUUGUUCGUUGGCACUUCGAUAAAGGAUGUGGCCUUGUUCUUAUCAUUUCUUAGUUUUUGAAGCUAAAUGUUUUACUUGGCUUUCAACAGGCACAAGAACAAGUUUGUCUUGUGUAAAUAAAAUAAAACCAUAAAAUUCCAUUAUUAGUGUAAAACCAAAAUAAUUAAAAUAAUAAAAGUGAGUUAGUCGUGCGUGUGGACCUCCUCUUUAUGAGUUUGUUAUCACACCAUAUUUGGUUUCUAUAAAUAAAAUAACUAAAACUCUCUUAUCUAAGUAAGAAUAUUGUUAUUUUGAAAUACCAACUCAAUCUCUAACAAAUCUUGAGAUAUAACUUAAGAUUCUUGAGCUUCCAAUAUAAAACAAGUAAGAUUAACAUAACUUUUUCACUUCCUUCCAUCAAAGAAGGGAAUAAGUUAUAUAAUUUAAUUUAUGUUUAAUUAAAUUAUUUUAAAUGGGUAAUAAUUAUAAAUUUUUCCACUUUAUUUAAUUAACUAGAUAAGACCAUAUUGUAAAUUCUUACAUUUAUCACUUUAAUCUCUUUCCUUUUUCAUUCCAACUCCGGUACAAACUAUUCCUUUUCAAAAAGUUGUACUCAAAUUGAUAAGUCUUGGAAGACCAAAACACUAUUUAAAAUUUAUUAUUUGCUUUAGUAGCUUUCAUGGGUGCAAGGUAAGGAACAAAACUCGGUGGAUUUUAUGACAAAAGCUUUAUCUUAUGUAGCACUUUUUUCGAUAUCUCGAACUUUACUCUUUAAGAAUGUUGUAUAAUAUUUCUACAAUAACAACAAACAAAUUAUAACCCUGAAAGAUCUAUAUACACCUCGAUCUCUAGCUAGUUCUCUACAAAAUAUGGCACUAAGUAACAAUGUAAUCGGAGCCAUCAACUUUGUUGCCGUACUUCUUUCAAUCCCAGUCAUCGGUGCCGGAAUCUGGCUUGCCACCGAGGCAGACAAUUCUUGUGUCAAGCUUCUACAAUGGCCAGUCAUUAUUUUGGGAAUCUUGAUUCUAGUCGUGGCUCUAGCAGGCUUUAUUGGAGGAUUUUGGCGCAUCCCUUGGCUCCUUAUACUUUAUCUCGUUGCCAUGCUCAUUCUUAUAAUAUUGCUGGCUUGUCUAGUUGUUUUCAUUUACAUGGUCACGAUUAAGGGCUCAGGUCACCUUGCACCCAGUAGAGCGUACUUGGAAUACCGCCUCGAUGAUUUUUCUGGAUGGCUACGUAGAAGAGUUCGAAGCCCUUACAAAUGGGAUCGGAUCAAAAGCUGUCUCAGCUCGACACAGAUGUGCCCUGAGUUGAACCAUGUAAAAAUGAGUUGCAAAUACUGUUUGGUUACUGAGAAACAGAGAGAAAAUUGAUGAAUAUUCCAGAUCUUAUUAUUUCAUUAAUUACAAAUGAGUAAAUCACAAGUCUUUAUACUUGCAUUUCAUUAGUAAAAGCUAUUAACGAAACUGAUCUGUAUUAACUAACUAAUACUAACUAACUAAUCACGCGAACUCUCAUUGCUGCAUAACAGAAUCAGCUGACUCAGCAUUGUUGACGUGGCAUUGCUGACGCACCUUAGCUUCUGACUUCUUCUCUCUUCUUAGCUCAGCACAAUGAGCUUUCUUCACAGCCCCUCUCAAACUCAAGGGGCAUAAAUGCACAUUGAGUUUGUUCCUCAGAUAAAUGAACUGAGAAGAGUUUAAGGGCUUAGUCAUUAUGUCUGCUAUCUGUUCUGUACUAGGAACAUAUAGAAUCUUAAGAUCUCCAGUUAGAACCUUAUCUCUGAUAAAAUGCAGAUCGAUUUCUAUGUGUUUUGUUCUUGAGUGAAACACUGGAUUAUGAGCAAGAUCUUUGGCACUUACAUUGUCACACCAUAUAACUGGUUUCUCCACACGACAUAGAUUAAUCUCAAGAAACAAAGAUUUUAUCCAUGUUAUCUCUGAAACAGCUGCUGCAAGUGCUCUGUAUUCACUUUCUGCAGAAGAUUUUGUAACUACAGAUUGCUUCUUUGAGGACCAUGAGAUUAAGUUGUUUCCUAGGUACACACAAUAUGCACCAGUGGAUCUUCUGUCAUCAAGAUCACUUCCCCAGUCUGCAUCUGUAAAUGCUGUAACCUUCAGCUCACCUUUCUUAACAAAUUUCAGCCCAUAGUCUUGUGUUUCCUUCAGAUAUCUAAGCACACGUUUGCAUGCCAUAAGAUGUUGAAGUGUUGGUGAAGAUACAUACUGACUUAGCUUAUGAACUGAAUAGGCAAUUUCAGGUCUUGUCAAAACUAAAUACUGAAGACCUCCUACAAUGCUUCUGUAAUGAGAUGGAUCUUCUAUGUAAUAACCCAUUUCCCCUUCUAUAUUCUUCUGCAAUCUGUAAUCUUUGCUGCUGCUCAUUGGUGUAUCUAUUCCUUUACACUCGAGCAUAUCAGCUUUAGCCAGCAAGUCUCUGAUAUACUUCCUUUGUGAUAGAUACAUACGGCCAAGAUCAUACAAAACUUCAAUUCCAAGAAAAUAAGAUAACUUUCCCAGAUCCUUUAAUGCAAAUGCAGAACUGAAUAGCUUGAUAAAAUCUUCCAGCUCAUCACAAUUUGAUCCUGUAAUCAAUAUGUCAUCCACAUAUAUCAGGAUUAAAAUAAUUGAUCUUUUAUUCUUUUUCAAGAACAAAGAUGAGUCAGACUUAGAAUUCUCAAAUCCCCAUUGCACAAGACUGUUUCUCAGCUUGUCAAAACAUGCUCGUGGAGCUUGUUUCAAACCAUAAAGUGCCUUGUGAAGCUUGCACACAAAAUCAGGUCUUUUGGAAUCAAUAAACCCUUCUGGUUGACUCAUAUACACCUCCUCAAUUAAAUCUCCAUUUAAGAAUGCAUUAUUCACAUCAACCUGUCUUAUUUGCCACUGAUUCAUUACUGCUAGACUCAGGACUAUUCUAACUGUUGCUGCUUUCACCACUGGACUGAAAGUCUCAAAGUAGUUCACUCCUUCUAUUUGCUGAAAUCCUUUAGCAACCAACCUUGCCUUAUAUUUUGCAACACUUCCAUCAGUAUUUGAUUUCACUCGAAAUACCCAUUUGUUGCCAACAAGUUUGUGAUGUUCUGUUCUUGGCACAAGUGUCCAGGUACCAUUUGACAUUAGUGCAUCAUAUUCAGCUUUCAUUACUUGAAACCAUCUCUCAUCAUUGAUAGCCUCCUGAACUGUAUCUGGUUCUUUAUGCAACAAUACUGCAGUAUAUACCUUUGGCUUAAAGAUACCUGCUUUCCCUCUAGUGAUCAUGGGGUGUUGGUUUAGUGAUGGUGAGGUUGUCAUUGUUUGAUUGAGAUGAGGGAUAUUGUUAUUGUGUUGGUUUUGUGAAUUUUCAUUUGAGGGCUGUUCUAAUGUUGUGUCAGGUAUAGAAGGUAACAUUAUAGGUGCAGAUGGAUUAUUUCUGUCUGUGUUUGAGGGUUGUUGAUCUGUUACCUGUGUUGAGACUACUGUUGAAGGAAAAAUGUUGCCACUGGAGUAUGCUUGAGAGAAAGAUUCAUUGCUGGUGACUGAAAAAUCUGUUAUGACAGGUAAUGUUGAUAACUGGAAAACUUGUAUAGGAGUAAUUGUGCAAUAUGUAUCAGACUUAGAUUUAUUUGAAUUAUGAAAGCUAGGAUCAGCUGCAAAUGGAUAAGAGUGUUCAUCAAAGACAACAUGCCUAGCUAUAUAUAUAUGUCCAGAGGGGUGAUAACACUUGUAGCCUUUAUGAGAUGGACUAUAACCAAGAAAAAUGCAUUUGGUUGUGUGAUAGUCAAACUUGUGCUUAUUGUAAUCUCUCAGAUAUGGAUAACAAGCACAUCCAAAGCAUUUCAGCAUUUUAUAAUCAGCCUUGUGUUUAUAAAGCUUUUCAUAUGGAGUAGACAUCUUAAGUGCAGAAGUAGGGAGUCUAUUAAUGUGAUAGACUGAGGCAUGAAAAGCAUCCCACCAGAAUUGAAAAGGGAGUUUGGCUUGAGCUAGAAGUGUCAGUCCUAAUUCUACAAUUUGUCUGUGUUUUCUUUCAACAAGUCCAUUCUGAUGAUGAGUGUAAGGGCAAGAGUGUCUAAAGAGAAUGCCACAUUCAUUUAGAAAGGCAGUAAAUGGUCUGUAUUCUCCCCCCCAGUCAGAUUGUAGAAUUUUGAUAGAAGUUUGAAAUUGUUUUUCAACUUGAAGUUUGAACAGCUUGAACACUUCUAGAGCUUCUGAUUUAAGUUUCAAAGGAUAAAUCCAGGUGUAUCUGGUAUGAUCAUCCACAAAGCUAAUGUAAUAUCUAAAGCCAUCUCUAGAAUAUGCUGGUGAGGGACCCCAUAGAUCAGUGUGAACAAGUUCUAGAGCUGAUGUGGAUUUGAUAUCAGUGAUUGGAAAAUGAAGUUUAUGAAAUUUUCCUAGUUGACAUGCUUCACAGAAAUGCUUUGUAGCUUGAUUAACAAUAUUUGUAGAGCACAAAUUGGGAUGCACAAGCUUAAGCAAAUGAAUUAGACUUUGAGUAUUAGGAUGACCAAAUCGUUUGUGGAGUAAAGACAUUUUAUUGAAUGAAUUAGUGCUACAAGUAUUCUUAUUUGACUGAAAACAUUUUCCAGAACAAGAACUAUUAACUGAAGUGCUGAAAUAACACUGAGAUAGCAUGGACACAGGCUUAUUUAUUGAGCUCUGAGAUAGAAAAGAGGUAAAUGUAGAUUGUGAUGAUGAACUCAGCUGCAAUUUGUAUAAACCUUUCUCAGCAAUACCCAGUAGCAGAAUUUUCCCUUUCAGUAUAUCCUUCACAAAGCAAACAGAACCAAGGAAUUCAACAGAUAAGUCAUUAUCAGUGGUCAGUCUAGAAACACUUAUUAAAUUCUUUGUAAUAGAUGGAACAAGCAGUAUAUCUUUAAGUGCAAUGCAUGUACUUGCAUAUUGUAUUUUAGAGCUUUGAAUUGUAAGAUUGGCAUUACCAACAUGUGUGAUUGACAAACCUUUACCAUCACCAAUGAUAAGCUUGUCAUUACCUCUAAACUCAUUGCUGACAUGCAUAUUUGCCAUACUAUUUGUUAGAUGAUGUGUAGCUCCACUGUCAAGGUACCAUCCUUCAUCUGUUGGUCCUUCAAAGUUAGCAGCAUAAGCAGCUCCAGCUCCACUCACAGGUGAGCUCAUUGAGUCAGAUAUGUAUGAAGAAUAUGGUGUAUUAUACACGUGAGGUAUCCCUGAAUAAUCAGCUGCAGCAGGCCAUGAAUCUUCAGUAGGUGCAUUAAAAUAUGUCAUAUAGGCUGAUCUCUGAUUUCUUCCUCUUUUCAUGUGUUGAGGUAUAUAAUUUUCUUCAAACCUAUGCCAACAUUCUACUGCUGUGUGUCCAGAUUUAAAACAGAUCUGACAAACAACAGUCUGUUCCUCAUUACCAUCAGAAUUCGACAAACCAGAAUUAACACUAUAUUGUCCUCUCAUGAAUUGUGCCUGCUUAUUAUUGUUUCCAAUCAUUUGACCUCUGCCAAGAUUAUUACCAAGAUUUCCAGAUCCAGAGGGAAAGCCUCUUGGAUGAGAAUUGAUAAACAUUCCUCUUCCAGUAUGAAAAUUGUUUCUUCCAAAUUGAUUUCCACCAUGAAAUCCUCCAUUAUAUCCACCUCUUCGAGCACUACCUCUUGUUUGAGCAUAAUAAGCAUUCAUCAUACCAUAGCCAUUAUUAUUAUGAGAAACAUUAGCAAGAUUUGCAUUGAACAUCUGUUUUUCAUUUAGACUCUGUUCUAAUCUUGUUUCAUGCGUGAGCAGCAAUGCAUAGGAAUCAUCAAAAUCUAGCUUACUAGCAGUAAUGAAAGUUGCUAAAUCUAGAUAGCCUGGUCCAAGACCAUUAAGGAUCUGUUGUAACAGAUCUUUGUCAGAAACUGGACUACCAGCACAGGCUAAUUUAUCUGCUAUUUGUUUCAUUUUCAAACAAUAAUCUUCUACAUUUAGUGAAUCUUUUCUCAAAACACUCAUCUCAUAUUUGAGUUGAAGAACUCUAGCUUCAGAUUUUGCACCAAACUUUUUCUCCAAUGUUUUCCACACAUCAUAUGCAGUAUUACAAGAAUGAACAUGACUGAGAAUACCUUCAGUGAUUGAGCUUAAUAGCCAGCUUAGUAAUGUCUGAUCCUGUGACCUCCAGAUUAUAUAUUCUGGAUUUUCAACUUGUUGUGUAACUCUUCCCAUUGUUUCAGCAUAGCUUCCUGAAGUAAGAAAUUGAGUAGGUGCUGCCUUUUCUCCAUUGAUGUAGCCUUCAAGUCUGUUUCCUCUUAUAGAAGCUAAUACUUGAUUUCGCCAGAGCAUAUAAUUGGAUCUAUCCAAUUUGAUUGGCGUAAUGAAUGAGAAGGUAGUUUGUAUUGAUUGAUUCAUGUUUGUUGUGUUUGGAUUUGUGUUUAAAUUGCUUGAGCUUACCAUAUUUCUGGCUCUGAUACCAUGUAAAAAUGAGUUGCAAAUACUGUUUGGUUACUGAGAAACAGAGAGAAAAUUGAUAAAUAUUCUAGAUCUUAUUAUUUCAUUAAUUACAAAUGAGUAAAUCACAAGUCUUUAUACUUGCAUUUCAUUAGUAAAAGCUAUUAACGAAACUGAUCUGUAUUAACUAACUAAUACUAACUAACUAAUCACGCGAACUCUCAUUGCUGCAUAACAGAAUCAGCUGACUCAGCAUUGUUGACGUGGCAUUGCUGACGCACCUUAGCUUCUGACUUCUUCUCUCUUCUCAGCUCAGCACAAUGAGCUUUCUUCACAAACCAGAGUUAUAGGAUGGCUCAAGAUUUCUUCAAUGCACAUAUUACCCCUUUACAGGUAAUUAUAAUUAAUUAAGUUCUCGAUUACCAUUAAUUUUAUUUUAUUUUUUUCCAUUAAUUUCUAGAAAUUAAGAUUUAUUAGAACUCUAAAGUUAAAUUCUGAUUAAAAUUUUAAUUUUUAACGUACACAUUCCUCUUUAUAAUUAUGACCGUACGUAAUUUUAUAGCAGAGGAUAAUUCCUACCCAUUAAUUAAGCUAACCCACACGCCCAUGGAACAAUGAAGAAGUAGCUAAUAAAGUAAAAACACUGUAUUAGAUUCGGAAAACCAAGUUUCAAAUCUUCUUUUCAAAAAUAUUCUUCGUCUUUAUCUUUAUUGCGUGCCUUUGUGCUUUUUUUUUUCUAUUUAUUUAUUUUUCUUGUUUACAGUCUGGAUGUUGUAAGCCUCCGACAGAGUGUGGUUACACAUUUGUAAACCCAACAUAUUGGAUAAGUCCAAUUAACAACGCGGCGGACAUGGAUUGCCUACAGUGGAGCAAUGACCAAAUGCAGCUUUGCUAUAAUUGUGAUUCAUGCAAAGCAGGAUUACUUGCUAAUCUGAAAAAGGAGUGGAGAAGAGUAGAUAUCAUAUUACUCGUUACUCUUGUUGCUUUGAUAUGGGUUUAUCUGAUUGGAUGUUGUGCUUUUAGGAACGCCAAAACUGAAGACCUCUUUCGCAAGUACAAGCAAGGCACUUACACGUAAUUGUUAGCUGCACGUAAACUCUCUUUGAUAGUAAUAUUAAUGUGUAAUUAGGGACUGGCUUGAAUUGUUAUUUUGAUAAUUUUAUGAAUUUUUUGUUUAAGAUCCGUCUUCUUGGUUACUUACAUUUGGUUAAAUUAUGUGUGGGGUUUGAUUUGAUGACGACAUAAUCUUGAGUUGUGCGUGCGUGAUUUGUGGAGGGCGCCGAAAGUAGGUGGCUUUUGAAUAUUUGCUUUUUAAGGAGAAGGGAUUUCGCACUUCCGCUCCCUGCUUGCUCGCAUAGGGCAUUAAUUGUAGCUUUGAAAAAAGUUCUGCUUCAGCAUGCGCAAAAGUCAAAGAAAUGGGACAUGUGCUCAUGCAUUAUGCAGCCAGCAUAUGGGUGAUAGCAGACGUAUUUAAUCUUUUAGUCUUUGUUGACAACUCAGCCUCUCUCUCUCUCUCUCUCUCUCUCUCUCUCUCUCUCGCUGUGUCUCUGCGUCAGGGAUCUGAUUUGUGGGAAGAUAGAUAUCGGUUUAAAAGGUUUUCAUAUGCAUCCUUGGAACUUUGUAAGGUUUACAUGGAAAUUUCUUCCUCUUCCAGUGGCCGUCGAGAACUCUUUGCUGCUGAGAUGCACCUGAAGAACGUCCUUAAACAAGUAAAACACCUUAUAAUUCGAUAUUUAAGACACUUACAGUUGGUUUAAAGAUUGCAUUUUCCGUUUCUGUUUUUGACUGGUUCA
Molecule: long non-coding RNA, 27345 nt
Filed under: Citrus x clementina
Lineage: Eukaryota; Viridiplantae; Streptophyta; Magnoliopsida; Sapindales; Rutaceae
Description: Citrus clementina (C. clementina) long non-coding RNA (CCLE_LNC003589)
Source: RNAcentral